Non-coding RNA from Pelobates cultripes (western spadefoot toad), 75 nucleotides. The record is from the annotation of a GenBank genome assembly. NCBI's taxonomy places the organism in Eukaryota, Metazoa, Chordata, Amphibia, Anura, Pelobatidae.
UUAUAUAAUGCAGUGUGUUUGUGUAGUGUGUGUGUAUAUAAUGCACACUACACAAACACACUGCAUUAUAUAAAC